Molecule: ribosomal RNA, 801 nt
Filed under: uncultured bacterium
Lineage: Bacteria
Description: bacterial SSU rRNA
Rfam family: Bacterial small subunit ribosomal RNA
Source: RNAcentral
CGGUAAGGCUUGUCACUCUUCGGAGUGACUCGCACACGAGUGGCGCACGGGUGAGUAACGCGUGGGUAAUCUGCCUUCGGGUUUGGGACAACUCCGGGAAACUGGAGCUAAUACCGAAUAAGACCACGAGGUCUUCGGGCCUUGCGGAAAAAGGUGGCCUCUUCUUGAAAGCCAUCGCCUGUAGAUGAGCCCGCGUCCCAUUAGCUUGUUGGUGAGGUAAAAGCUCACCAAGGCAUCGAUGGGUAGCUGGUCUGAGAGGAUGAUCAGCCACACUGGAACUGAGACACGGUCCAGACUCCUACGGGAGGCAGCAGUCGGGAAUCUUGCACAAUGGGCGAAAGCCUGAUGCAGCAACGCCGCGUGAGGGAUGAAGGCCCUCGGGUCGUAAACCUCUGUCGGAAGGGAAGAAGGUAUUCCGGGCCAAUACCCCGGGAUAUUGACGGUACCUUCAAAGGAAGCGCCGGCUAACUCCGUGCCAGCAGCCGCGGUAAUACGGAGGGCGCGAGCGUUAUUCGGAAUCAUUGGGCGUAAAGCGCGUGUAGGCGGCUGGGUAAGUCGGAUGUGAAAUCCCGGGGCUCAACCCCGGAAUUGCAUUCGAAACUGCCCAGCUAGAGUCUCGGAGAGGAGGGCGGAAUUCCCGGUGUAGAGGUGAAAUUCGUAGAUAUCGGGAGGAACACCAGUGGCGAAGGCGGCCCUCUGGACGAUGACUGACGCUGAGACGCGAAAGCGUGGGGAGCAAACAGGAUUAGAUACCCUGGUAGUCCACGCCGUAAACGUUGGGUGCUAGGUGUCGCGGGUAUU